AAAUGAUUAUUUGCUGCGCCGAUUGAUGAUCUCAUGUGUUGAACAUGGUUUUGACCAAGCUCUUUGUUUGUAUGAAAUUUAAAUUUUAGUUGUGAAAUCUGGGUUCAUGUGUUUUAAUUGAUUGGUAACUUACGCGCAUUUUGCGAACUCUAGCAUAAUGUUUAUUCCAGCAAUCGCUACGUUGUUAGCUAUACUACUUGUUAUAAUAUAUUUAAUAAUUUGUUGGGCAGUUAUAUGGUUUUGUAGUCUUUCUCGACAACGUUUCUUCCAAGUGCUGCUCCAUGACGAUGUUCUUGAAAAACCAAAGGAAUCACAAAAGGUGGAAUGAAGCACUUGUGUUAUCAAGGAUGCUGGAAUCCAAGAUCGUCAUUACUCUGUUUUCACCAAUUUUGAUUCUGUGAUUUACUUAUAGCACUCUGUGAUCCAAUAGCAAGAAAGUGAAGUGUAAAUAAUAUGAAUUAUGAAUUCAUUUUAUAAUCAUUUCCCUCAUUCAAAUUUUAUCAUUGUAUAUAUUCAUUUGUGUAUAUUUUUGUAAUUUGUGAUCUUAUGUUUCAUGACAGUUUUAUUUAACUUGCUAGACACCCAAUUAUUUUGACCAGAAACUUCUUGGCUCUCAGUAACUAGCUCUUAAAUGUAUAUCCUUAUUUUCUGACAUGAAAUCAAAUUUUUGUAAUUAUAAAAAAAUACUUAGAAAUUUUUAGAAAAUUUAGAAAUGCAUAUGUGUGUUGAAAAUGAAGAAUUAGCAAACACUUUAAUCAAGUGUAUAUACCUUUUUAUUUAUUUUUUAUGUGUUGGAUUUUAUUCUUUUACUGUUUAAAAAAAUUAUGUAUAAAAGUGCAAAAAAAUAAAGACUCUGUUUUUAUUUUGUUAU
Molecule: long non-coding RNA, 871 nt
Organism: Argiope bruennichi
Lineage: Eukaryota; Metazoa; Arthropoda; Arachnida; Araneae; Araneidae
Exons: 3
Source: RefSeq, a predicted model, not a curated record